GCCUCCUUGCAAAAUUAUUUCUAGUUAAUACAUUAUGCAGAAGGUAUAAGGGCUUGUCUUUGCUUUUUAGUGCUUGAUACAGUUCUUUCAUCUUUCCCUUACUGUACUAUGUCUAUUGUGCCAGGGUAAAAAUUUCUAUCGCCUAUACUUUUGUCUAAGGUAAAUGGUUUAAGAUAGUUGAUAAUAUUUUUAGCAAGGUUUGGGGCUAGAGUUGGCUCAAAGUGAUUAGGUCAUGAUGAAAUCUUCUGGGUGUAAGCCGGAUGCUUUGGGUUAAGCUACAUUUUGGUAUGUCCAAGCGCAAUUUCCAGUACACUUACCAUGUUACGACUUAUUUCCUCUAUACUUGCGUAGAAAGUUAUUAGUAAUAGUGAUUUCUACAGUAACAUUUGAGGAGGGUGACCAGUGGUGUGUGUGUGCUUCAUGGCCUUAUUCAAGCAAGCACUCUGCUCUUGGUUUACUGCUAAAUCCACCACCCAGUCGAAUCCAACAGACCAUAAGACCAUAAGACCA
This is a long non-coding RNA of Nomascus leucogenys (northern white-cheeked gibbon), 510 nucleotides long. RefSeq lists it as uncharacterized. NCBI's taxonomy places the organism in Eukaryota, Metazoa, Chordata, Mammalia, Primates, Hylobatidae. The transcript is spliced from 3 exons. The record is from RefSeq and is a predicted model, not a curated record.